GUGCGUCUCUUGAAAGUCAAAACGACUCUCGGCAACGGAUAUCUCGGCUCUCGCAUCGAUGAAGAACGUAGCGAAAUGCGAUACUUGGUGUGAAUUGCAGAAUCCCGUGAACCAUCGAGUCUUUGAACGCAAGUUGCGCCCGAAGCCUUCGGGCCGAGGGCACGCCUGCCUGGGCGUCA
RNAcentral lists this ribosomal RNA (179 nucleotides) under Ruellia alboviolacea. RNAcentral describes it as "5.8S ribosomal RNA". The stretch from base 24 to 179 matches the Rfam family "5.8S ribosomal RNA". From Rfam's summary of the family: 5.8S ribosomal RNA (5.8S rRNA) is a component of the large subunit of the eukaryotic ribosome. It is transcribed by RNA polymerase I as part of the 45S precursor that also contains 18S and 28S rRNA. Functionally, it is thought that 5.8S rRNA may be involved in ribosome translocation. The record is from RNAcentral. Lineage: Eukaryota; Viridiplantae; Streptophyta; Magnoliopsida; Lamiales; Acanthaceae.